RNAcentral lists this long non-coding RNA (1257 nucleotides) under Marmota monax (woodchuck). Lineage: Eukaryota; Metazoa; Chordata; Mammalia; Rodentia; Sciuridae. The record is from RNAcentral.
UUGGUUUUGUUUUGCAUAUUUGUUUCUAUGUUGGGGGAAAAUAUCAAAUUUGGAAAACGUAUCCUAAAGAUUCUGAGCUGUUUCAAAAGGUACAGACCUGCUUCAGUAGUGAGGGGAUUAAGAUUAGGGUCAGGUAUUAAGUGGGUCACCAAGAAGGAAAAUAGCCUGUUCAGGAGGGAAAUGGGAUUUCACUUUUGGGCCUGUUGAAUGUGCAGUGCCUGUGAUAUCCAGGAAGUAGCUGGAAAGAUCUUGUUUAAUCCUCCAGGCAAACUGCAAAAUUUAUGUUAUGGUCUACUUGCUCUAAUAUUGCACAAUAAGAAAGUGGGGAAACAGGGCAUGAAUCUAGGACAUUUGGGCUCUAAAAGCUGUUUUUUUCCUAUGUCACAAAUACCAUCUUCCAACUUUAUUGUCAUCCUUUCAAUUCUGCUCAUCUUUGGUUAAUCAUUAAUUCUUUUAACUCUAUUUGUACUCUAACAUCAUGGACAUCUCACUAUUUGUCUCCAUCAAACACCACAUCACCCUAACUUCCUGAAAGUCAUACCAAGGUCACAAGUUUGUGCUCCAUCAUUUCUGCUUAAUGAACUUUGGGCAUGUGUCCUGUGAGAAGAUAAGUUCUGAAUUGUGGCCUUCAAAACAAAAUUAGAGUAGAAAAUUCUUAUCUUGGCACUCCUUGUAUUAGUCAGUGUUUCACUGCUGUAAUAAAACACUGGAGUCAGUCUACUUUGUAAAGAAAAGAGGUUUAUUUAGCUCAUUGUUUUGGAGGCUAGAAGCCCAAGCUUAGACAGCCCCACUGGUUUGGCCUCUAGUGAGGGCCUACUGGUAGAUGGCACCAUGGUGGGAACACAUGCAAGAGGGAGAGAUAACAUGGCCAGAUGGGAGGCCAGGAUUACGUGGAGACCAGACUUGUUUAUUUUACAAAACACUCUCAAGAGAACUAACUCAGGGGUUUUCACUAACUCAGGGGCCCUUCUGAGGGCUUGCCCCCAGUGACAGAAGGACUUCCCACUAAGUUCUUACCAUUAAUAUUUCCACAUGGCCUCUACACUCCAAACUAGGGCCAAACAUACCAAUGCAUGAACCUUGGGGGGCAAAUCAUAGCACUCCCCAAUUUCCUUGUUUUGUAUAUUUCUUCCCCUUAUCACGUCCUUAUUUCAUUACAAUCUCAAUACAUUCACUGGAUAGAAAAGUAGCUAGAUUCUUUCUUGCUAAAGGGUUAUAACUUUAAUGUAUUAGCCCUCUCAGGGGCUUUGCAUUUCC